GUGAUGUCAUGCUUCGAAGAAAAGCCCUAUACCCGUUAAGGCAUCAUGGCCUGUACCCGAAACCGACACAGGUGGGGUGGUAGAGAAUACCGAGGGGCGCGAGGUAACUCUCUCUAAGGAACUCGGCAAAAUGGCCCCGUAACUUCGGGAGAAGGGGUGCCACCGCAAGGUGGUCGCAGUGAAGAGGCCCAGGCGACUGUUUACCAAAAACACAGGUCUCCGCUAAGUCGCAAGACGAUGUAUGGGGGCUGACGCCCGCCCAGUGCCGGAAGGUUAAGGAAGCUGGUCAGCGCAAGCGAAGCUAGCGACUGAAGCCCCGGUGAACGGCGGCCGUAACAAUAACGGUCCUAAGGUAGCGAAAUUCCUUGUCGGGUAAGUUCCGACCCGCACGAAAGGCGUAACGAUCUGGGCGCUGUCUCGGAGAGAGGCUCGGCGAAAUAGAAUUGUCUGUGAAGAUGCGGACUACGUGCACCCGGACAGAAAGACCCUAUGAAGCUUUACUGUAGCUUGGUAUUGUGCCCGGGCUCGCAAUGCGCAGGAUAGGUGGGAGGCUUUGAUCAUCGGCUUGCGGGUCGAUGUGAGCCAACGGUGAGAUACCACUCUUUGCGAGCUAGGGUUCUAACGGCCACCCGUCAUCCGGGGGCCGGACAGUACCUGGUGGGCAGUUUGACUGGGGCGGUCGCCUCCUAAAAGGUAACGGAGGCGCGCAAAGGUUUGCUCAGGCUGGUUGGAAAUCAGCCGACGAGUGUAAAAGCAGAAGCAAGCUUGACUGUGAGACCAACAAGUCGAACAGGGAGGAAACUCGGCUUUAGUGAUCCGACGGUUCUGAGUGGAAGGGCCGUCGCUCAACGGAUAAAAGUUACUCUAGGAUAACAGGCUGAUCUCCCCCAAGAGUUCACAUCGACGGGGAGGUUUGGCACCUCGAUGUCGGCUCAUCGCAACCUGGGGCUGAAGUCGGUCCCAAGGGUUGGGCUGUUCGCCCAUUAAAGCGGUACGCGAGCUGGGUUCAGAACGUCGUGAGACAGUUCGGUCCAUAUCCGGUGCACGCGCAGGAAUAUUGAGAGGAUUUCUCCCUAUUACGAGAGGACCGGGAGGAACGCACCUCUGGUGUACCAGUUAUCGUGCCAACGGUAAACGCUGGGUAGCCAUGUGCGGAGUGGAUAACCGCUGAAAGCAUCUAAGUGGGAAGCCCACCCAAGAUGAGUAUUCCCAUGGCGUAAGCCAGUAAGGUCACGGGAAGAACACCCGUUGAUAGGCUCUAUGUGGAAGCGCAGUAAUGCGUGAAGCAGAGGAGUACUAAUAGACCGAGGGCUUGACC
RNAcentral lists this ribosomal RNA (1318 nucleotides) under metagenome. RNAcentral describes it as "bacterial LSU rRNA". It matches the Rfam family "Bacterial large subunit ribosomal RNA", at positions 1594 to 2925 of the family's 2925-position model. The record is from RNAcentral.